RNAcentral lists this ribosomal RNA (301 nucleotides) under uncultured bacterium. RNAcentral's name for it is "partial 16S ribosomal RNA". It matches the Rfam family "Bacterial small subunit ribosomal RNA", at positions 509 to 807 of the family's 1533-position model. The record is from RNAcentral.
CAGUAGCCGCGGUAAUACGGAGGGUCCGAGCGUUAAUCGGAAUUACUGGGCGUAAAGCGUGCGCAGGCGGUUUGUUAAGCGAGAUGUGAAAGCCCUGGGCUCAACCUAGGAAUAGCAUUUCGAACUGGCGAACUAGAGUCUUGUAGAGGGGGGUAGAAUUCCAGGUGUAGCGGUGAAAUGCGUAGAGAUCUGGAGGAAUACCGGUGGCGAAGGCGGCCCCCUGGACAAAGACUGACGCUCAUGCACGAAAGCGUGGGGAGCAAACAGGAUUAGAUACCCCAGUAGUCCCUGUCUCUUAUAC